UACGUAGGGGGCUAGCGUUGUCCGGAAUCAUUGGGCGUAAAGCGCGUGUAGGCGGCCCGGUAAGUCCGCUGUGAAAGUCGGGGGCUCAACCCUCGGAUGCCGGUGGAAACUGCCUGACUUGAGUCCGGGUGGGGCGAGUGGAAUUCCUGGUGUAGCGGUGAAAUGCGCAGAUAUCAGGAGGAACACCAAUGGCGAAGGCAGCUCGCUGGAACGGUACUGACGCUGAGGCGCGAAAGCGUGGGGAGCGAACAGG
RNAcentral lists this ribosomal RNA (253 nucleotides) under uncultured bacterium. Its description in RNAcentral is "partial 16S ribosomal RNA". It matches the Rfam family "Bacterial small subunit ribosomal RNA", at positions 524 to 776 of the family's 1533-position model. The record is from RNAcentral.